AUUGAACGCUGGCGGCAGGCCUAACACAUGCAAGUCGAGCGGAGCGGGGGACGGGCGAGUAAUGCCUAUGUAUCUGCCUGGGAGUGGGGGAGAACGUCCGGAAACGGGCGCUAAUACCGCAUACUAUCAGAUGAGCCUAGGUCGGAUUAGCUAGUUGGUGGGGUAAAGGCUUACCAAGGCGACGAUCCGUAGCUGGUCUGAGAGGAUGAUCAGUCACACUGGAACUGAGACACGGUCCAGACUCCUACGGGAGGCAGCAGUGGGGAAUAUUGCACAAUGGGCGCAAGCCUGAUCCAGCCAUGCCGCGUGUGUGAAGAAGGUCUUCGGAUUGUAAAGUACUUUAAGUUGGGAGGCGUUACCAACAGAAUAAGCACCGGCUAACUUCGUGCCAGCAGCCGCGGUAAUAC
RNAcentral lists this ribosomal RNA (407 nucleotides) under uncultured bacterium. Its description in RNAcentral is "partial 16S ribosomal RNA". It matches the Rfam family "Bacterial small subunit ribosomal RNA", at positions 30 to 526 of the family's 1533-position model. The record is from RNAcentral.